GACGAACGCUGGCGGCGUGCCUAAUACAUGCAAGUAGGACGCACAGUCUAUACCGUAGCUUGCUACACCAUAGGCUGUGAGUUGCGAACGGGUGAGUAACGCGUAGGUAACCUGCCUAUUAGAGGGGGAUAACUAUUGGAAACGAUAGCUAAUACCGCAUAACAGUAUGUAACACAUGUUAGAUGCUUGAAAGAUGCAAUUGCAUCGCUAGUAGAUGGACCUGCGUUGUAUUAGCUAGUAGGUAGGGUAAUGGCCUACCUAGGCGACGAUACAUAGCCGACCUGAGAGGGGGAUCGGCCACACUGGGACUGGGACACGGCCCAGACUCCUACGGGAGGCAGCAGUAGGGAAUCUUCGGCAAUGGGGGGAACCCUGACCGAGCAACGCCGCGUGAGUGAAGAAGGUUUUCGGAUCGUAAAGCUCUGUUGUUAAGGAAGAACGAGCGUGAGAAUGGAAAGUUCAUACUGUGACGGUACUUAACCAGAAAGGGACGGCUAACUACGUG
This 505-nucleotide ribosomal RNA is filed under the name uncultured bacterium. Its description in RNAcentral is "partial 16S ribosomal RNA". It matches the Rfam family "Bacterial small subunit ribosomal RNA", at positions 28 to 507 of the family's 1533-position model. The record is from RNAcentral.